UACAGAGGUCUCAAGCGUUGUUCGGAUUCAUUGGGCGUAAAGGGUGCGUAGGCGGCGCGGUAAGUCGGGUGUGAAAUCUCGGAGCUUAACUCCGAAACUGCAUUCGAUACUGCCGUGCUUGAGGACUGGAGAGGAGACUGGAAUUUACGGUGUAGCGGUGAAAUGCGUAGAUAUCGGAAGGAACGCCGGUGGCGAAAGCGGCGCACUGGAUCUCUUCUGACGCUGAGGCGCGAAAGCCAGGGGAGCAAACGGG
Molecule: ribosomal RNA, 253 nt
Filed under: uncultured bacterium
Lineage: Bacteria
Description: partial 16S ribosomal RNA
Rfam family: Bacterial small subunit ribosomal RNA
Source: RNAcentral